UACAUAGGGGGACUGAGAGGUUAACCCCCCACAUUGGAACUGAGACACGGUCCAAACUCCUACGGGAGGCAGCAGUGAGGAAUAUUGGUCAAUGGACGAGAGUCUGAACCAGCCAAGUAGCGUGAAGGAUGAAGGUUUAUGGAUUGUAAACUUCUUUUAUACGGGAAUAACGAAUCCACGCGUGGAUUUUUGCAUGUACCGUAUGAAUAAGGAUCGGCUAACUCCGUGCCAGCAGCCGCGGUAAUACGGAGGAUCCGAGCGUUAUCCGGAUUUAUUGGGUUUAAAGGGAGCGUAGAUGGGUUGUUAAGUCAGUUGUGAAAGUUUGCGGCUCAACCGUAAAAUUGCAAUUGAUACUGGCAGUCUUGAGUACAGUUGAGGUAGGCGGAAUUCGUGGUGUAGCGGUGAAAUGCUUAGAUAUCACGAAGAACUUUGAUUGCGAAGGCAGCUUACUAACCUGUAACUGACGUUGAUGCUCGAAAGUGUGGGUAUCAAACAGGAUUAGAUAC
Molecule: ribosomal RNA, 506 nt
Filed under: uncultured bacterium
Lineage: Bacteria
Description: bacterial SSU rRNA
Rfam family: Bacterial small subunit ribosomal RNA
Source: RNAcentral